CUCAGGUACAGCGAUAGCUCUGGCCGGGUCAGCUUCCCCACUCUUGUCUGCUUCCUGAUACGGCUGGAAACCAUGGCAAAGGCAUUUCGCAACCUCUCCAAGGAUGGCAAAGGCAUCUACCUGACAGAAACAGAGUGGAUGAACCUGGUCAUGUACAGCUGAGGGGAGAAACCCAGCAGAGGCCUCUGGACCAGGUAAGACAUGGCAGCAUUAGAGUCCUUUCUCCUCCCUGUGAACAUUUCCCCCACUUUCUGUAAGAAGGACACUUGAGAUUCCUGGAAAUGCCCUCUCUGAGGCUUCAGAAAGUGUAUCUUCGGGAGCCGAGGCCCCAUUGCUCCUUGCUCCUGAAUUUCAAGGCCAAACGCUCAGAUUUCGUCCAGACACGUUCAUGAAAAAAGCAGCCCGAAAGUCGUGAAAGCG
This 420-nucleotide long non-coding RNA is filed under the name Mus spicilegus (steppe mouse). RNAcentral's name for it is "lncRNA (ENSMSIG00000027907.1)". The record is from RNAcentral. Lineage: Eukaryota; Metazoa; Chordata; Mammalia; Rodentia; Muridae.